Molecule: small nuclear RNA, 190 nt
Organism: Mandrillus leucophaeus (drill)
Lineage: Eukaryota; Metazoa; Chordata; Mammalia; Primates; Cercopithecidae
Gene: U2
Rfam family: U2 spliceosomal RNA
About the family: U2 is a small nuclear RNA (snRNA) component of the spliceosome (involved in pre-mRNA splicing).
Source: Ensembl
AUCACUUCUCAGCCUUUUGAUUAAGAUCAAGUAUAGUAUCUGUUCUUAUCAGUUAAAUAUCUUAUAUGUUCCUGUUCUCAGGACAAUAUUAAAUGGAUUGUUUGAAAUAGCAAAUGGAACAUAAGUUUGUUUUGUCUACUCCAUACAUUAACCUGGCACUGCAGUACUGCCAGGAAGAGAUAGAAGAAAA